RNAcentral lists this ribosomal RNA (584 nucleotides) under uncultured bacterium. RNAcentral describes it as "partial 16S ribosomal RNA". It matches the Rfam family "Bacterial small subunit ribosomal RNA", at positions 355 to 1375 of the family's 1533-position model. The record is from RNAcentral.
UGGGGAAUUUUGGACAAUGGGCGAAAGCCUGAUCCAGCAAUGCCGCGUGUGUGAAGAAGGCCUUCGGGUUGUAAAGCACUUUUGUCCGGAAAGAAAUCCUUGGCUCUAAUACAGUCGGGGGAUGACGGUACCGGAAGAAUAAGCACCGGCUAACUACGUGCCAGCAGCCGCGGUAAUACGUAGGGUGCAAGCGUUAAUCGGAAUUACUGGGCGUAAAGCGUGCGCAGGCGGUUUGCUAAGACCGAUGUGAAAUCCCCGGGCUCAACCUGGGAACUGCAUUGGUGACUGGCAGGCUAGAGUAUGGCAGAGGGGGGUAGAAUUCCACGUGUAGCAGUGAAAUGCGUAGAGAUGUGGAGGAAUACCGAUGGCGAAGGCAGCCCCCGGGCCAAUACUGACGCUCAUGCACGAAAGCGUGGGGAGCAAACAGGAUUAGAUACCCUGGUAGUCCACGCCCUAAACGAUGUCAACUAGUUGUUGGGGAUUCAUUUCCUUAGUAACGUAGCUAACGCGUGAAGUUGACCGCCUGGGGAAUACGGUCGCAAGAUUAAAACUCAAAUGAAUUGACGGGGUCAUAGCUGUUUCCU